GACGAACGCUGGCGGCGUGCUUAACACAUGCAAGUCGAACGGACAGGCCAUGCUUUUGCGGCGUUCUCGAUAGCCGAACGCGUGAGUAACACGUGAGUAUAAUGCCCUUAUAUUUCGGAUAAAUUUAGGGAACUGGGGAUAAUACCGGAUAGGAUAUCCUGCUGCGUGGUGGUCAUUGGAAAGAUACGGCGGUUGGGGAUCGUCUCGCGGCUUAUCCGCUUCUUGGUGGAGUAGUGGAUUACCAAGCCUUUGAAGGGUAGCCGGCCUUAGAGGGUUACCGGCCACAUUGGGACUGAGGGACGGCGCAGAAUCCUACGGGAGGCAGCAGUGGGGAGUAUGGCACAGUGGGGGGGAGCCUGAUGCAGCAACGCUGCGUGCGGGAUGACGUCCUUCGGGGGGUAAACCACUGUCUCCUUUGACGAAGCGUUAGUGACGGUAAUGGGUCAAGAAGCACCGGCUAACUACGUG
This 468-nucleotide ribosomal RNA is filed under the name uncultured bacterium. Its description in RNAcentral is "partial 16S ribosomal RNA". It matches the Rfam family "Bacterial small subunit ribosomal RNA", at positions 28 to 507 of the family's 1533-position model. The record is from RNAcentral.